GAACAUUCCUAGUGUUUGGAAGUAGCUUCUGCCAGAUGGGUUCCAUGCCUGCCAGAAUGUGUUCUGAGGCUCAGGCAGGACAGAGGCAUUCUGGGAAAUGGUGUACCAGGAAUUGCCAUCUAACAGUGAAACAGAAAGCAGCCUGAAGGUGAUUGCUCCACAAGCCGCAGCAAAGAAGCAGGGACAGUAAUCUCUGACUGAAUAAUGAGUCCCCAUCACCUCUAUACUGAACAGAACGCCUAUGAUGUAGCCUACUAAAGGAUAUCAUGGACCACUGUGACGUCAACUCACCGCUGACUGGAGCCCCAAAACAGCUCGCGACGCCCACUGCUGACGCCGCAACCAGCAUUUCUCCUUUAGCUGCUCUCUGUGAAUGAACAGAGCCACAAGAGUCAUCAGCAUAAGUGGCCUUCUAUACAAUUUCCAUCUGG
This is a long non-coding RNA of Megalobrama amblycephala (Wuchang bream), 431 nucleotides long. RefSeq lists it as uncharacterized. Lineage: Eukaryota; Metazoa; Chordata; Actinopteri; Cypriniformes; Xenocyprididae. The transcript is spliced from 3 exons. The record is from RefSeq and is a predicted model, not a curated record.